Molecule: ribosomal RNA, 17 nt
Filed under: Lactarius evosmus
Lineage: Eukaryota; Fungi; Basidiomycota; Agaricomycetes; Russulales; Russulaceae
Also listed under: 1 other name
Description: partial 28S ribosomal RNA
Source: RNAcentral
UGACCUCAAAUCGGGUG